RNAcentral lists this ribosomal RNA (158 nucleotides) under Fusarium solani. RNAcentral describes it as "5.8S ribosomal RNA". It matches the Rfam family "5.8S ribosomal RNA". Rfam says of the family: 5.8S ribosomal RNA (5.8S rRNA) is a component of the large subunit of the eukaryotic ribosome. It is transcribed by RNA polymerase I as part of the 45S precursor that also contains 18S and 28S rRNA. Functionally, it is thought that 5.8S rRNA may be involved in ribosome translocation. Lineage: Eukaryota; Fungi; Ascomycota; Sordariomycetes; Hypocreales; Nectriaceae. The record is from RNAcentral.
AAACUUUCAACAACGGAUCUCUUGGCUCUGGCAUCGAUGAAGAACGCAGCGAAACGCGAUAAGUAAUGUGAAUUGCAGAAUUUAGUGAAUCAUCGAAUCUUUGAACGCACAUUGCGCCCGCCAGUAUUCUGGCGGGCAUGCCUGUCCGAGCGUCACUA